UCCCAGUGCUCAACAUGUAAAAUCUAACCUUUUCUUUUCCCUUUCCCUAGCAAAAGUGAUCUGGAUUGUUUUCAACAACAGAAGAUGGAGAGUCACCGUCCCACCAUUUGAAGCCAUUUGCUCCAGGUUUGAAUUCACAUGGACUGCAGAAGGCCUAGCAUGUAGAGUUCUCGCUAUUUUUACUGGUGCUCAAACCAAUAGAUGCUGGCAUCCAUAACUAUGGUUUUCUAUUGUAUGGUAUUGUACACCUCUGAGCAACUUUCCAUUUACCAUCUGGGACCUCUGUAUCAGCAUCUCAACUGCCUGCACAACUAGUAAAGACUAGUAUUCACGUUACUUGGCAGUUCCCAUCUCUCUCUCUUGUUUAUACAGGGAGAUGAGCAGAAAGAGUAAUUUUUAGCAAACUUUUAAAGCGCUGCAAUACCUACUUUAAGGGUCAAAUUCUGACCACCAAUUUUAGGCUCCAGCUAUUAUCUGUAGGGAAUUUAUGAACAAAACUUGGAAUUAAAGAAAUUUGUAGUAUUGGUGUUAUCUUGCUCCUGGGGCCAAAGGACAGUCCCAUAGUAACACAGUAUGCUGGAAAUAUUACUUAGCUAAGAAUCUAAAGAAGCCCAUAAGAGCUGAAGGCACUAGUAUGUGGUCAUAUGCGUCCAAGACAUGCUCUGUUGCUCACAACAGCAAGCCAGAGAAACUCUGUUUCAAAGCACUGGUAUUUCCCUCCCAAUACAUUUACCAAAGCAUUUAAAAUCUAGGAUUGUCUUAAGGAUUUGGACCUCUUCACUACGACAUGAAUUAACUUCUUGAGCUAUUUGAUAAAAGAGGAAAAAUAUGAAGAAUGCUAAAAGGUGGAAAGAUGCACUAGCCGUAGCGAUUUCCUCUGGCAUAUAGGAGGUAAAGCAGAUUAUUUUGUAACACUGAAAAGCCAUGCAAACACCAGUCUGGAAGAGGCGUGGAGGGAUCUAACUUUCUAGAAAAUGAGAGUCUGCAGCAAGCAAGAAAUAGAUCAUCCUUUGUCCACAGCUGGGAAACAGGUGACCCUUGGAGCAAGUUUUUUUAAACAUUACUCACUGCUGUAACAUGAUGCUGACAUAUAUGAUGUGGAGUACUACAGAUAGCAAAGUCAUGAAAUAAGAAAGGUGAGAAACAAGACUUAUGUCACAAGGUUUGGAACAUAAAGACGCCUUUCCCCCCGCUCCUGAAGCCUUGUUGAGUGUUGAAUCCAGGAAACAACGAAUAAUUUAGAAGCCUGAAAAGGGAACAUCAAGGAGUCCCAGACGCCAAGGUGCUGGUAUUCCACAGAGAGGUAUUUCAGAAAGAGCAGGGUGGGGAAAACACACAAUGAAGACAGAGCCACCCCUUAGUAAUGACUCUUCUGGGCAUUUCUGCAGAAGAUGCAGGAGUAUUUCUUGUUCAAUAAUGGCUCAAAAAGGAAGCAGGAGAGAAGUGAGGAAACCACUGAAUUGCAAAACAUCAGCACUUCACUCCUUUCACCUUGUGACUUCUUGGUAGGAAUAAGAACAUGACACUUUCAUCAGAUGAAACAUCAAAGUUGCAAAACCAUAACCAAUGCUGAAGAGGAGACCCAACUGAAUGGGAGAAAGAAGAGCAAGUGUGAAGCAAGUUUCUAUUCACAUUCUUGAAGACUUCACUGAGGUAGAAGCUGCCUCUGAGCAGCAAGAGCAAUAGCAAUGGGUUCAUGCACAGGCUGCAGUCACAAGAAAUCACCACUUUCAUAGUCCAGGAUGACAAGAGGAGCAGGAGCAUGAAAUUACCUUCAGUGGUUUAUCAUUUGCUCAGUACUGUUGACCACAGAUGAGCAAACUGAACAUUGGUCUACACGAUGUAAAGAAGAAAAUGAAAGUUGUAUCAGAAUUACUCAGAUGUAAAUAACCCAGUGAUUCUCUUAAGAUUUAUGAUUAUUGUAAUAGAUUCAACAAAAAUUGGCUCUACUUCCAUUGGCAUAACCCUAAAUGCCCACCUGUGACCUUGUGACCUUCCAUCUCAGAGAUGGAAGAUGUCCAAAAUCCACACUUUCAAGAAGGUCCAUAUCUUGAUACUUUGUCCUCAAGACCUAAGAGUUGUACCAGGACACUGAAGAUGUAGUGGCCGUAUUGCACGGUCACAAGCCAACAGGACUCUCUGCUCCAGCCCAGACUUCAUAAAAGCAGCUCUUGUCUGACAGAAGGGAGAUGAUGAAAGCUGACUGCUCUCUUGGAUAUAGAUGUCUCUUACUGGAAGAAGGUUACAAGAUAUAUUUACCUAAGAUAGAAGUAAAUUUUACCUUCCUUAAAAAUUUUUAAAAAAAGAGAAAAAAGGAGACCAUUACAGAGAUCUGCUUGAAGUUGUAUAUCAGUUUCCAUAAAACUAAAUACCUUAAUGAGCAAACUUCCUUUUAAAACAAAAUCUAAAUGCAUUUUUGAAGAUUAAAACACUCACCAGAAGUUUAGAUACUGUUUCAAACAGUCCAGUAUUUGUCAAAUUUGUUCUUUGAAAAUAAUGAAGACAUUGCAAUGUAAAAUAGAUGGAAAGGUCUCUAAAAUUGUCAGCUUCAUAUCACUCCAUGAUAAUAGGCACAUUGAUGCCUUAAAAAUGUGUUAAAUUUAAUGUUAUAUUUAUUCCUGAACCUGUUGAGUUUUUCAAUAUAUGCUCUGAUCAUAGGCUUGACUAUGUUUUCCCACCCAUCUUCUUAGAACAUAAAUCACUUUUGUUUUCUUAAACACCUAACAUGGAUGUUAACAGAAAGCCUUCUAAAACAUUUGCACUUAGAACCGAGGCAAUCUGCAGGUUGUAACAACAGAAAAACAACACACGUUAAUAUGUAUCUAUUUAUAAACACAUGUAAAACGCAUGCUCCAGUUAGCAACAGGAACGAAAAAACCCGCCCACCUCAGGUGAAUCCUGUUACAAUCUGAAGGACUACGGUAGGUUUUCCCUUCUUUACAAUCCCACAUUCAUACACAAUCCAAACUCCUAUAGACCUCAGUAAGAAAUCUGCAUAUGCAAGCACGGAAGCAGGAGGGACCUUACGGUUUAACGACCAGCAGCGAAUAGAACCUUCAACUUCACAACAAGCAAACAAUGGACUAGUUGCACAAUAAAUGUGUGCCAAAGCCUUCCAUAUUGCAUCUAAAAAUCACUUAAAACCCUUUCAUCUGCAGCCACUGUAAAAUCAU
Long non-coding RNA from Egretta garzetta (little egret), 3173 nucleotides. RefSeq lists it as uncharacterized. The record is from RefSeq and is a predicted model, not a curated record. The transcript is spliced from 3 exons. Lineage: Eukaryota; Metazoa; Chordata; Aves; Pelecaniformes; Ardeidae.